CGAUGCGAUCAUACCAGCACUAACGCACCGGAUCCCAUUAGAACUCCGAAGUUAAGCGUGCUUGGGCGAGAAUAGUACUAGGAUGGGUCUCCGAGUCACAUUGC
Molecule: ribosomal RNA, 104 nt
Filed under: Nicotiana sylvestris (wood tobacco)
Lineage: Eukaryota; Viridiplantae; Streptophyta; Magnoliopsida; Solanales; Solanaceae
Source: RNAcentral